Molecule: small nuclear RNA, 91 nt
Organism: Delphinapterus leucas (beluga whale)
Lineage: Eukaryota; Metazoa; Chordata; Mammalia; Artiodactyla; Monodontidae
Source: Ensembl
GUACUCCAAUAAAAACUUUUAAAUAAAAUUGGAACAAUACAGAGAAGAUCAGCAGGAUGACAUGCAAAUUAAUGAAGUGUUCCAUAUUUUU